RNAcentral lists this ribosomal RNA (883 nucleotides) under Pseudoalteromonas sp. ALG-3. Its description in RNAcentral is "bacterial SSU rRNA". It matches the Rfam family "Bacterial small subunit ribosomal RNA", at positions 125 to 1011 of the family's 1533-position model. The record is from RNAcentral. Lineage: Bacteria; Pseudomonadati; Pseudomonadota; Gammaproteobacteria; Alteromonadales; Pseudoalteromonadaceae.
CAUGCCUUGAGGUGGGGGAAACAGUUGGAAACGACUGCUAAUACCGCAUAAUGUCUACGGACCAAAGGGGGCUUCGGCUCUCGCCUUUAGAUUGGCCCAAGUGGGAUUAGCUAGUUGGUGAGGUAAUGGCUCACCAAGGCGACGAUCCCUAGCUGGUUUGAGAGGAUGAUCAGCCACACUGGGACUGAGACACGGCCCAGACUCCUACGGGAGGCAGCAGUGGGGAAUAUUGCACAAUGGGCGCAAGCCUGAUGCAGCCAUGCCGCGUGUGUGAAGAAGGCCUUCGGGUUGUAAAGCACUUUCAGUCAGGAGGAAAGGUUAGUAGUUAAUACCUGCUAGCUGUGACGUUACUGACAGAAGAAGCACCGGCUAACUCCGUGCCAGCAGCCGCGGUAAUACGGAGGGUGCGAGCGUUAAUCGGAAUUACUGGGCGUAAAGCGUACGCAGGCGGUUUGUUAAGCGAGAUGUGAAAGCCCCGGGCUCAACCUGGGAACUGCAUUUCGAACUGGCAAACUAGAGUGUGAUAGAGGGUGGUAGAAUUUCAGGUGUAGCGGUGAAAUGCGUAGAGAUCUGAAGGAAUACCGAUGGCGAAGGCAGCCACCUGGGUCAACACUGACGCUCAUGUACGAAAGCGUGGGGAGCAAACGGGAUUAGAUACCCCGGUAGUCCACGCCGUAAACGAUGUCUACUAGAAGCUCGGAGCCUCGGUUCUGUUUUUCAAAGCUAACGCAUUAAGUAGACCGCCUGGGGAGUACGGCCGCAAGGUUAAAACUCAAAUGAAUUGACGGGGGCCCGCACAAGCGGUGGAGCAUGUGGUUUAAUUCGAUGCAACGCGAAGAACCUUACCUACACUUGACAUACAGAGAACUUACCAAAGAUGGUU